CCUACGGGUGGCAGCCGUAGGGAAUAUUGCUCAAUGGGGGAAACCCUGAAGCAGCAACGCCGCGUGAAGGAAGAAGGCUUUCGGGUUGUACACUUCUUUUAAGGGGGAAGAGCAGAAGACGGUACCCCUUGACUAAGCCACGGCUAACUACGUGCCAGCAGCCGCGGUAAUACGUAGGUGGCAAGCGUUGUCCGGAUUUACUGGGUGUAAAGGGCGUGCAGCCGGAGAGACAAGUCAGAUGUGAAAUCCACGGGCUCAACCCGUGAACUGCAUUUGAAACUGUUUCCCUUGAGUGUCGGAGAGGUAAUCGGAAUUCCUUGUGUAGCGGUGAAAUGCGUAGAUAUAAGGAAGAACACCAGUGGCGAAGGCGGAUUACUGGACGAUAACUGACGGUGAGGCGCGAAAGCGUGGGGAGCAAACAGGAUUAGAUACCCCUGUAGUC
This 442-nucleotide ribosomal RNA is filed under the name uncultured bacterium. RNAcentral's name for it is "partial 16S ribosomal RNA". It matches the Rfam family "Bacterial small subunit ribosomal RNA", at positions 338 to 795 of the family's 1533-position model. The record is from RNAcentral.